This 97-nucleotide small RNA is filed under the name unclassified sequences. Its description in RNAcentral is "NAD+-I sequence". It matches the Rfam family "nadA riboswitch". The record is from Rfam by way of RNAcentral.
AGCUUCAACAUCCCCGCAGGCUGGGCGCGGACGUCGAAUAGCGGAUCUUAAUCAAGGGGUCGGCUAAGCGAUGACGCGCAGUGAGUCUGCUGCAGCC